GACGAACGCUGGCGGCGUGCCUAACACAUGCAAGUCGAACGGUAAGGCUCUGCUUUUGUGGGGUGCUCGAGUGGCGAACGGGUGAGUAACACGUGUGUAACAUGCCCUUGAUUUUGGGAUAACUUCAGGAAACUGGGGCUAAUACCGGACAGGAGCUCCUGCAGCACGGUGGGGGUUGGAAAGUUUCGGCGGUUGGGGAUGGACUCGUGGCUCAUCAGCUUGUUGGUGGGGUAGUGGCUUACCAAGGCAUUGACGGGUAGCCGGCCUGAGAGGGUGACCGGCCACAUUGGGACUGAGGAGCGGGCCAGACUCCUGCGGGGGGCAGCAGUGGGGAUUAGUGCACGAUGGGCGGAAGCCGGAUACAGCAACGCCGCGUGCGGGAUGACGGCCUUCGGGUUGUAAACCGCUUUCGCCUGUGACGAAGCGUGAGUGACGGUAAUGGAUAAAGAAGCACCGGCUAACUACGUG
Molecule: ribosomal RNA, 468 nt
Filed under: uncultured bacterium
Lineage: Bacteria
Description: partial 16S ribosomal RNA
Rfam family: Bacterial small subunit ribosomal RNA
Source: RNAcentral